GGAUGUGAGGGUCAUCUGGCUGCGACAUCUGUCACCCCAUUGAUCACCAGGGUUGAUUCAGCUGAUCUGGCUGCCUAGGUGGGUGUCUCCUUCCUCCCUCAAUGCUCCAUGAGCAUCCCUCCCGAAGCUGUGCGCUCGGUCAAAGAGGACGACCACCCCGAUAGAGGAGGACCGUUUCUUGGUCAAGGGUAUACGAGUAGCUGCGCUCCCCUGCUAGAACCUCCAAACAAGCUCUCAAGAGACCUUGCCAGACCAGAAGCCAGAUCUCUCAAAAACUUUCAAUCAAAGAAGAGAUUCACAUU
Molecule: small nuclear RNA, 302 nt
Filed under: Chinchilla lanigera (long-tailed chinchilla)
Lineage: Eukaryota; Metazoa; Chordata; Mammalia; Rodentia; Chinchillidae
Description: 7SK RNA (ENSCLAG00000021990.1)
Rfam family: 7SK RNA
About the family: 7SK was discovered as an abundant small nuclear RNA in the mid-70s but a possible function has only recently been suggested. Two independent studies have found that 7SK RNA binds the CDK9/cyclin T complex (known as elongation factor P-TEFb).
Source: Rfam by way of RNAcentral